GACGAACGCUGGCGGCGUGCUUAACACAUGCAAGUCGAACGGAAAGGCCCUGCUUGCAGGGUACUCGAGUGGCGAACGGGUGAGUAACACGUGGGUGAUCUGCCCUGCACUUCGGGAUAAGCCUGGGAAACUGGGUCUAAUACCGGAUAGGAGCCAUUUUUAGUGUGAUGGUUGGAAAGUUUUUUCGGUGUAGGAUGAGCUCGCGGCCUAUCAGCUUGUUGGUGGGGUAAUGGCCUACCAAGGCGGCGACGGGUAGCCGGCCUGAGGGGGUGGACGGCCACAUUGGGACUGAGAUACGGCCCAGACUCCUACGGGAGGCAGCAGUGGGGAAUAUUGCACAAUGGGCGCAAGCCUGAUGCAGCGACGCCGCGUGGGGGAUGACGGCCUUCGGGUUGAAAACUCCUUUCGCUAGGGACGAAGCUUUUUGUGACGGUACCUAGAUAAGAAGCACCGGCUAACUACGUG
Molecule: ribosomal RNA, 465 nt
Filed under: uncultured bacterium
Lineage: Bacteria
Description: partial 16S ribosomal RNA
Rfam family: Bacterial small subunit ribosomal RNA
Source: RNAcentral